Molecule: ribosomal RNA, 1160 nt
Filed under: human gut metagenome
Description: bacterial LSU rRNA
Rfam family: Bacterial large subunit ribosomal RNA
Source: RNAcentral
AGGUGUGGAUAGCGGAGAAAUUCCAAUCGAACCCGGAGAUAGCUGGUUCUCCUCGAAAUAGCUUUAGGGCUAGCCUCGUUUUAGUCUGGUGGAGGUAGAGCACUGAAUUCCCAAGGGGGCGUCAAAGCUUACUAAGGGAUAUCAAACUCCGAAUGCCAUACAGAUGAUGAACGGGAGUCAGACUAUACGAGAUAAGUUGGAUAGUCAAAAGGGAAAGAGCCCAGACCUGCAGCUAAGGUCCCAAAGUGCAUGUUAAGUGGAAAAGGAUGUGGGAUCUCUAAGACAACUAGGAUGUUGGCUCAGAAGCAGCCAUUCAUUCAAAGAGUGCGUAACAGCUCACUAGUCGAGAGGUCCUGCGCCGAAAAUGUCCGGGGCUAAAACAUGCCACCGAAGCUCAGGAAUGACAUAGUCAUUGGUAGAGGAGCAUUCUUAACGCGAAGAAGCAGUACCGUAAGGAGCUGUGGAGUGCUAAGAAGAGAGAAUGCCGGAAUGAGUAGCGAGAACAAGGUGAGAAUCCUUGUGGCCGAAUAUCCAAGGUCUCCAGGGUAAAGCUGAUCUGCCCUGGGAAAGUCGGGACCUAAGGUCAGGCUGAAAAGCGUAGCCGAUGGACAACAGGUUGAUAUUCCUGUACCGCAUGGUAACAGAACUGUGGGGACACGGGAGGGAAACAUGGGCCGGAAAUGGAAAGUCCGGUACAAACGGGGUAGUCGCACAGCAGGCAAAUCCGCUGUGCAUAAGACGAAGCCGUGAUGUGGAGCGAAAUGAAGUAGCGAAGCAUGUGCCCCCUCCUGUCGAGAAAAGCCGCUAUUGUUUGCCAUGCGCCCGUACCGUAAACCGACACAGGUGGAUGAGGAGAGAAUCCUAAGGCCGGCGGGAGAAGCAUUGUCAAGGAACUCGGCAAAAUGACCCCGUAACUUCGGGAGAAGGGGUGCCCACGCAAGUGGGCCGCAGAGAAUAGGCUCAAGCAACUGUUUAGCAAAAACACAGGUCUAUGCGAAACCGUAAGGUGAUGUAUAUGGGCUGACGCCUGCCCGGUGCUGGAAGGUUAAGAGGAGAGGUUAGCGCAAGCGAAGCUUUGAAUCCAAGCCCCAGUAAACGGCGGCCGUAACUAUAACGGUCCUAAGGUAGCGAAAUUCCUUGUCGGGUAAGUUCCGACCCGC